Non-coding RNA from Nelumbo nucifera (sacred lotus), 7651 nucleotides. NCBI's taxonomy places the organism in Eukaryota, Viridiplantae, Streptophyta, Magnoliopsida, Proteales, Nelumbonaceae. The record is from RefSeq and is a predicted model, not a curated record.
GGUCGAAUGAUCAGAUUGUUCAAACCGGUAACCGGGCCCCUGACCGUUUCGUUUUUAAAAACCAUGAUUGUUAACAUCUGGUUGAGCGCAAUUAGCUGCUUUAUCUUUCCUUUUCUCAUCCAUAAGAGAAGUAUUGUCUAUAUUUCCAGAAAUUAGAUCAAACGAACUUGGCCCUUUAAUUGAAGUCUCACUAACAGACGACCUUAGGUCAGCUAUAGUGCCCCGUACGUCCUUAUUGACCAGCAUUCUCUACACAAGGUUGUUCAUCCUUGACCUACAAAGAAGGAUCAUAUUGAAAAGGAUAAUUUCAAUUCAUGAAGUCACAUUAAGUUACGAAAAAAAAUCUAGCGUCAUUCAUUAUUACCUUAAAUGGUGGAGUUGCGAGCAUUGGCUCUCUAGGAAGUAAACCCAUGUAGCAACUGACAUAAAAAACCAUGACUAAAAUUUCAUAUAUAACCACGGUCAUGUGGCCAUGGCUAAAUAGCAGUUUUUCCGCGGCUAAAAGCAUUAUAUAGCUACGGAUUUAGUUAUUUGUGGCUACAAAUAGAUGCUACCUUUUCACUAAGGUCGCUUUGUCCGUGGCUAAAGGCAUUUUUGGUAUUGUUAAAAACGCUUUUCAUAUGCCCGCGCGGUAUUCUUUUAGUUUCGAAACUCUCUUCUAUUCUUUGAUCUUCUUUGUUCUUUCUCUUCUCCUCUUUGUUCUUCAACCUCGUUUCUUAUCUACUUGCUAUAACUCACAAAACCCUCAUCUUCUCUUUCAUUUCUUAUUUGCGCACAAAUAACCAGCUGGUUCUGAGUGUUGCUAUAGGAACAAUCUAUCGACUGUUUCAGACGCAAGAACUGGCUUGGGUGCCAAAGUUUGCAGCUUCGUUGGCUCAACUCUAAUGCCAAAGGUGUGCAACUUCGUUAGAUCAGAAAAUUGAGGAGGCUGCAAAAAAGGGUAAACAAACUAAACUUGUUCUACCGGUGUUGCGGAAUCGCCUUGAUCUUGCUCAACAUGAUGUGAGUCUUCCUUUUCUUCUUUCUUUCUUAACUUGUUUACUGUAUACAUCUCUAUCCAUUUGAAAAUUAUUACACUUUUCUUGUUCUUGCAUGACUUCUUGUUCUUUAUUUAGGGAUCAUUCUUUCAUUUCCCUUAUUGAGCUUGUUGCUCAUAAUUUAAUUAUUGAUUGUAAAUAUGGAUUAAGUGCAAAUGUUGGACAUUGAAACACCUAGUAGCAGUUUCACUCCUCUUUCUUAAUUGGUAACAGAACAAAUUCAUUGGUAUCUGAAAACAUAAUUAGUUAUCUUUUUUUCUGACAGGGAUAAUCCUUGGCAUCAGACUUUGUGAACACAGAGGUAGCAUAAUUAUUUCCUAUUAUACAUGUGGACACAGGGAUAAUCCUUCAAGCUUUGUGGACAUAGACUUUGUGUCCAUAAUCUGCAGUUACACAUACACAUACACUGGGACUGAUGGACUUGGCAUCAGUCCAUCAACUCUUCGGUUACACAUAAUCCCUGUUAUAUAUUUACAAUAGGGAUAAACCAUCAAGCUAUUCAAACUUUGUGAACAUAGACUUAUUAGAAUUAUUUUCCCUGUUUUGAAAAGGUAAAAUAUGGUAUUUCUGUAGAAAUUUGUGGAUACAGAGUUCUGCUGUUAAUUCUACCAAAACAAGGGUUUUGACAUGUGAACACAAAGACAAAAAUCUAUUAUAAGCUAUAUCUCUGAACUCUUUGGGUUCUGACAAGUGCCAACCAAGAGCAAAGCUUUCCUUUCAAUGGAGAUCAAAGUCCCUAGACUGUCAUUUUUUCACAAUGAUAGUUCCUAGCUAGGGCCCUCACCUUUUGCACACAAUAUGUCAGUACUGCCAAGUCCCUUUCAAUUAUGAAGCCCCUACGGUUUUCCUUAUAUAGUUAUGGCUUUCCUCAAUAGUUAUGGCUUUCCUCAAUCUAAGUCUUUGGCAUACAGCCAGCAAAUUCUCACUUUUGAGCCGCACCUGCCAAGAAUUCCUCUUAGUCCUUGGGAAUGUGAGGUUCCUAUCUACACUCCAUCAUAUCCCUUCUUUAAAUACAGUGGUGGCCUUUACAUCCUAGAGUUAAUUCAUUGUUAUCAUUUGGUCUUGAAUUCUAAUGCCCUCACUUUCACAUAUUUUGUUACUAAAUUUGCAUUACAGGUAUUCUGCUUUAGUUCUACUUAUCUUAAGAUCCUUUAGAUCCUUGGACAUCUUUCCACAAUCCCAGCUUUGUUUUCCUUUUGUCAUCUAUUCAGUCUAGAUAAUCUCAUCAACAAGCAUAAGUUGUGAAGCCUUCACUUGCAAAUGCUAAGCUAAUUCAUGGUUAAUGUAAACAAUAUGAGCCAAGGGCAGACCCACAUUUCUCAAUAUAAAGCAUCCGAUCUUUUGUUGUACCAAAUGAUUUUUCUCUGACCAAACCAGCCUGCAUGGAGAAGAAAGAAGUGAAUAAGAUUAACUUUACUGGUUUUGACAGCAUGACAUAAACACAAGUUCCCAAGACAAUGCUAGUUCCUUAAUGGAAAAUAAAUCCUCCAUGGGACAGGUUCAAAUCUGUUGAGUUGCAGGUUAAAUCUUAUAUGCUCUCUGUUGCAAACAAAUGGGCCUUUUUUGAAUCCUUUCCUGUCAAUGUGGUUGGUCUGUCACACUCAUGGCACCUUCUGAGAUUGGGUUGUGACAUCAAAAUUCCAUUCUACCCAAACUUGUCUCAAUUCUUCCUCUUUAAGAACAAAAAACAAAUCCCCAUAUAUUCCGAUUGAACUUUGAUAGAGUAAAAAAUUUGGUUGUCUAAUUAUGAAUGGGUGUAAGCAAUGCAAGGCCAAGUAUCCUUUCUGGGUAUGUCAAUGCCUCUAGGAGCCAGGACAAGGGACAUUUCAUCACCCUAUGCAACUAUUACACCAGCAUAGCUGAUUGAAGCCAAGGGACCACUGCCUUGCUAGCCCCCCGUCUUGAGGUUCCAACACCAACAAUCAAUCACAUUUAUGACCACACGUCUGGUACAUCAUUAAUGUUUCCCGUUGUUGUGGGUAUGAGCAGGCUUGUGGGGACAAAUCUGGAUGGGGAUUAGACAGUGGAUUUUGGUAGUGGCACAAGUAUUUGGUAAAACAUUAAGUUUAUUUCAAUUGUGACAAGUUUGAUCAAUCUCAGCAAGUUAACAUUUCAUCAUUUUUAUUCCUGAUCCAUGUGGCCAUUGUUCUAAAUUAGUUUUCCUUAUCUUGUUGCAGUUUGGGGCCAGCCAAGGUUCUUUUGGAUGCAUUAUUUAUUCAUUUUGUUUGUAUUUUUAUCAUUUCUUGUUUUUCCCACUCAUCCAUCUUAUCAGUUAUCAUCWCCAUCAUGGGUGUGUGAAUUUCAGGCUAGCAUGAAACUAUAAAACCUAUAGUGGCCUAGACUUAGCAAGAGUGGUCUAGUCUAAUCUGCAAAAGUGAACUACUCUUAAUGCAUGCAUGAUCUGGCAAAACACCCCAUGGAGUCUAGUUAAAAAAUUGAGCCACAUUAUACAAACACCUUUGAAACUGGCCCUUGUAUAUCCAUAUUCUCAUCCACAAGAAAAAUGGUUUCUCCUUAACCUGCUGAAAAUUGGAAACUUCAUGCGCACCAAAAUGGUUAUAAAGCACUUGGGCAGAAUACCAACUGAUUAAGAUAUUGCAGAUUGGAUGUACAUUUACAGAGGAAGGAAAUAAUAUAGCUAAUCUCCAGCAAAGAUAAAGUUCAAUAAUUAGCUUGAACAAAUGACAAUUGGUUAGAAUUAAGCAAGGGCUACCAGUGCAACAGGUUAUGUGGGCCAAGACUAAAACAAAUGCUAAAUGAAAUGAUUGUUUCUGAAUAAGAGUAUGAGACCUGGAUACUUGCUUAAUGAGGGAAAAUGUACAAUAGGAAUCUUAAGUGAUUUGUAUAGUUCAAGCUUUCAGGUGAUAUGUUUGUAGAAUGGCAGCCUAGUGCCUUGUUGUCAACAUUACUUAGGCGAUCCAGGGGCCUAAGGUGUUAGAGGAGUUAUUAGGGGUCUGAUCCUUGUUUUUCUUUUUCUUUUUUUUUUUUUCUUUGUACACCCACUUGUGUACCCUCUCUUUUAUUAAUGAAAUCAGUUAACUUUUUUUCAAAAAAAAACGACUAUUCAACUUGCUCAAAUAAAAAUGUGAAAAAUAUGAAAAGUAAAAAAACAAUUUAUAUCAAAAUAAACUAAAACCAAUAAAUGUUGAAGGGUAUAUGACACAUGUGAUCCCAAUGCAAAUGAGGAAUUAAACUUGAACAAGUUGACAUUUAUAAGAACUGAGAAACAAUAAAAAAAAAAAACCAUUCUACUUGUGCUUUCUGGUUCUAGAGGUCAGACCAUCUAGUCUGAUCUAAAGAGCAAUUGCUAACCUCUUUGGUUGUUGAUAACUGCAAUGGCAGAUUUGGGUUCAACUAGGGCAUGUUCAGACACCAGGGGUCCCUCCAAAAUUUAACCUUGUCAUCUCUGCCCACUUUGAACUCCUCCACUAGGAGGUUCUUUCAGUAGCAAAUCUCCAGCACCACUUGCUAAGCAAGGCAGUAUUUAUCACCUUCAGCUUCCUCUAGACCCCCUUCCUUUCUAGGUAAGCAAACUUGGUCCCAAUUCACAAGAUGAAUUUUCUUCUCUUACCAACCAGAAGUUGUUUGUGUGGCAACUGAAGGCUAUGGACCGUGUAGUCAUUGACGAAACAUUCAAAUGUGUAAGAUAAGUGCUGCAAUAAUGGUGCUUUGCUGUAUCAAUAUUAAAAUGAGCUUGUCUCUUUGCCUAUAAAAAAAAAGAAAAAAGAAAAAAAGCUCCCAGGGGUCCUAAGGAAGUGCAACAAAAGAAAAACCAGAUAGAAAAGGGAAGAGGGUGGAACCUAGGGACAACUGGAAGAACUGUUCUAUGAUGAAAAUUUGAGUUCUCCGGUUAGAAAAUCUCCACUGGCUUUCUUCAAAGCUACUUGCCUUGAUCAAAAGAAACUCGUACUACUUGGGUGGAGUGAAUUUAUUUUGACACAUUAUGAUAUCUUGAAGGCUUGACCCAUAAAUUCUUGUAAUUAUAUAAGCAGUAUAUCCAUUUUGCAUUAUAGUGAUUUAUGGCUUGGAGCCCUCACCCCCAAGGUAUUUUUACAGUCAUGUUCUUAGAUAUGCAUAAUUGCAAAAAAAAAAAUCCUAAGCCUCGUCUCAAUUUUGAUCUCAAUCCUUACAUUUGUCAUUUGUUUAACAUUAGGCUUGUAAAGUAGGCAAGUUUAUAUUGCAUAAUUAAUUAAAUUUUCAUACAUGAUUUUAUAUCCCCAAAAAUGUGAUUUCUAACUUAUUUUCUAUUAUUUUCUUAUAGGUUGAACAUGGUAAAGGAGGAUACUUCGCAGAGACAUUUGAUCAAAUUUUACACACCAAGUUUUUUUUUUUGGUUUGAGUUUCAUGUAUUCAAGAACCUUGAAUUUGUAGCAAGCACAUGGAUGUUAAAGCACCUUGAGAUAUAAUUCAUUUGUUUAUUAUAUAAUCUUUUAAUGAAAUUUUAAAUUCAAGUUUCAUCUUAUAUUAUGAAUUAGUUGUGCUUGUAUUCAAUACAGGAAACAAGGCUUCAAAAAAUAAUGAAAAAAUUUUAGGAUCUAGUCAUUAACCAAAGAGUAGUUAUAGGUUUAUAUUUUUAGCUACAGUCAAUGUAAACCGUAGCUAUAGAUUUAUUUUUUCUAGCUACCAACAAUUCACAUCCGUAGCUAUAGAUUGUUGUUCUUUUGCUACUGACAACAUGAACCGUAGCUAUAGGUUAAUUUUUUUUAGCUACGGUCAGUUAAUAUCCAUAGUUAUAGAUUGAUAUUCUUUUGCUACGACUAUUUAAAUCAUAGCUAUAAAUCCAAAUUUUGUAGCUACGGACAUCACAAACUGUAGCUAGAAAGUCAGUUUGUAGCUACGGAUAACUUAAAAACCAUAGCUACAAAUGCAUAUAUAAUUAUUUAGAUUAGGCUUUAGCCACAGACAAACCGUAGUUAUAGGUUAGUUCUAGCUACAGAUUCGUUCAGCCGUAGCUAUUGCCUAUAGCCACCGCGACUGUAGCUACUGUUUCUUGACCGUAGCCAGCCCGUAGCUAUAGACCUAUAGCUACGGAUUUGGCUGUAGCUAUAGGCCUAUUUUCUUGUAGUGUUAGGAACUUCCUUAGGUUUUAUAAGUCUUUCAAUGGUAGCACUUUCUCUUUUAUCAAGUGACGCCCUAGGACCACACUUAAAGCAUUUCUAACAUCUGUCUUGAUCCCCAUCAUUACCAUCAUCCAAUUCAUUAAAAUAUGCUAUGUAUUCCAUAUUAUCAUCUAUCGCUCCAAUGACAUCCCUCUUAUCAUUAGCAAGUUCAGAUCAAUGCCUGUCAUGGGAAAUGAAGUGGAGUUUGUUGACCAUCCCUAUUUGUAAUAUGUGUUUCAUUGGCACUCUCAUUAGCCUCAUUUCUAAUGAAAUUUCCUUAUUUGGAAUUAGGCUUGCAAAUUCUAGCCUUUUUGUAGUCAAAAUUGUUAAGGAAGUCAAAAAUUAGGGUCGACACUCUCAGAAAGGGUCUAAACUCUUAGGGCAAAGUAAUCACGGGGUUUUGUUAAGCCACCAUUUGCAAUAGUACCUCAUAGUGAGAGGACCCUCCUUAAGGUAAGAGCAUGCAACAACUAUCACCUCCUUCAUAUUAUAUUUAAGGUAAGACCCCUAGAGCCCAAGUGCUUGUUUCAAGUCACAUGAGCACAAAUCCUCAAUAAUCUUUUUGGGAACAUCUUGAGUGUACCCAAAUUAUUUGGUAAACCUAUGAGGACUAUAUGGCUCUACUACGUAUGAGUUCUUACACCAGAAGGUGAGAUAACUUGACUUGAGACUAAUCAAGUAUUCAAGAUAAUACCCAUGAAGCUAUUGAUUAUCUUUGUGCAAUGCCAAGCAAUGUAUUUGUCAAGUCUAAAUAAGGCACGUGCAUCCAAUUCAUUAAAAUGUUUUGCCAUCCCUUCCCCAGCAAAUUUAGUCAUAUGAGGGGUGCUUGAAUAAGGAGACUCAUAGUAGGCCCUAAAGUACUCUCCAACUAUUUAUACACAUAAUGAAUAGGAAAAGCAGCUCUACAUCCACCUGGGUCUAUAGAGGAGGUAACUUUAUUCAUUCCUCUAUAAAUACUAGAAAGAACAUGAACAAAAAGGAAAAAUGGGUGCCACACAACAUCAUGCCAGCAGUGUUGAAUAUCCCUAGUCGAACAAAAGGCAUCAUUGUGAGGAAGAAUAAAUGAAUAUAACCAACAAGAAAGGAAUGCAACUAAAUAGACCUCCUCUUUGAUCUCGUCAUCAACCCUUAAAUCGUCAAAGACUUAUUCUUCCUCCGAUGAUCGUUUGGAGGGAGGGUCAUUUUUCCCAAGAGAUUAUAGGUUAUCUCUGCCUACCUUUCUCUCUUUGCAUUCCUGGAGGGUGGCUUUCUAUACCUAAACGGACCCUUAAACCCAUACUUCACCCAAUUUGUUAUGCUCACAACAUAUUCACCACCGGCUUUCUCUUUUAGAUGAUGAAAUGCAAGGAAAAAGUACUUACAACUCUUAAGGAAUCAAGACCUCCCCUAAGAACCACCUAAUCAUAAAAAUAACCCCUAAUGGGAAGUUCACCAAUCAUAUGCAAAUCCCAAAGUGAAAUGGAUAACUCUCCUAAAGGAGUGUGAUGGGUGUUUGUGGUAGAGCACCGUGAUUCA